RNAcentral lists this long non-coding RNA (380 nucleotides) under Falco tinnunculus (common kestrel). RNAcentral describes it as "lncRNA (ENSFTIG00000013877.1)". The record is from RNAcentral. Lineage: Eukaryota; Metazoa; Chordata; Aves; Falconiformes; Falconidae.
UAAAAGAAGAUUGUGUAUUUUGUAUUUAUUUUUUUAGGAAACUCAGAGAUUUCUACCUUCAUGAAAGGCCCAUGUAUUCUCCUAGAGAGCCUGAAGUCUCCACUAAACCCAUUCUUCUGUUUAGAGGCUUAAAGCCCUGAAGUUGGUGUCUCUGCUUAGAAGAACAAGUGUGAUUCUGUCACCCUUCUUGGGGCAGGAGACCUUUAAGUGUGUUUUGUACAACCCCACACACAUCAGGUAGGCAGGGACCUACUGGACCAUCUGUGGGUUCCCUGUGUGCACAGGUCAUAAGUUCUCACAUUGUUUCCAGAUUCACUCCUUGAUUUGAAGUCCUUUCAUUCAUCUGUUUUGACAGCUUGAGAUGGUGGGUACUUGAGAGG